This 1389-nucleotide ribosomal RNA is filed under the name metagenome. RNAcentral's name for it is "SSU rRNA". It matches the Rfam family "Eukaryotic small subunit ribosomal RNA", at positions 3 to 1426 of the family's 1831-position model. The record is from RNAcentral.
CCUGGUUGAUCCUGCCAGUGGUCAUAUGCUUGUCUCAAAGAUUAAGCCAUGCAUGUGUAAGUUUAAGCGAGGUUAAACAGUGAAACUGCGAACGGCUCCAUAAUCAGUCAUAACUUGCAUGAUGGAGUACGCUGGCGUUGCCAGCGGGAUAUGGAUAACCGUACAAAAUGUAGAGCUAAUACACGCCAAGAAAGCGGUCCUUGCGGCUGCGGUAUUUAUUAGAGAUCAGGACGACGCGUGCUUUGCACGGGAUGUUGAGUCACGAUAACUUUUCGGAUCGGGGCCGUGUUUACACGGGACGAUGGUUCAUUGCGAUGUCUGCCCUAUCACUUUACGAUGGUAGGAUCGAGGCCUACCAUGAGGUUGACGGGUAACGGCGAAUGAGGGUUCUAUUCCGGAGAGGGCGCCUGAGAAAUGGCGACCACUUCCAAGGAAGGCAGCAGGCGCGCAAAUUACCCAAUCGCGACACGCGGAGGUAGUGACGAACAAUAACGAUGGGUUCUCCUUGUGAGAGUCCAAUUGGAAUGAGAGCAACGUAGAAGAUUCAACGAGUACCGAUUGGAGGGCAAGUCUGGUGCCAGCAGCCGCGGUAAUUCCAGCUCCAAUAGCGUAUAUUAAAGCUGUUGCGGUUAAAAAGCUCGUAGUCGGAGUUGAGGCGUUGUCCGCUAAGCGACGGCAUUGACUGUUGUUUGGGGGCUUGUCUUUGCUUCCCGCGCCUUGUGGUGUGGGGGGGAUUACUUUGAACAAAUUAGAGUGUUUAAAGCGGGCGUUUAGCCUUGAAUACAUUAGCAUGGAAUAAGGUAGAAGACUUUGGUCCUGUUUUGUUGUACUGAUGGGGCCUGGGUAAUGGUGAAUAGGGACGGACGGGGGCAUGAGUAUUCCGGCGCAAGAGGUGAAAUUCUUAGAUUGGCGGAAGACUGGCUGAUGCGAAAGCAGUUGUCAAGCAUGUUUUCAUUGAUCAAGAACGAAAGUCGGGGGAUCGAAAACGAUCAGAUACCGUUGUAGUCUCGACCAUAAACGAUGCCGACCAGGGAUUGGGAGAGGCCCGAGACUUUCUCACGACUCUUCCAGCACCUUAUGAGAAAUCAGAGUGUUUGGGUUCCGGGGGGAGUAUGGUCGCAAGGCUGAAACUUAAAGGAAUUGACGGAAGGGCACCACCAGGAGUGGAGCCUGCGGCUUAAUUUGACUCAACACGGGGAAACUCACCAGGCCCAGACAUAGUGAGGAUUGACAGACUGAGAGCUCUUUCUUGAUUUUAUGGAUGGUGGUGCAUGGCCGUUGUUAGUUCGUGGAGUGAUCUGUCUGCUUAAUUGCGAUAACGAACGAGACCUUGGGGGCUUGCUGCGGGGGUCUGCGUGAGCAGGACUUCGCUCCUAGCCCUACUGCUGC